Molecule: transfer RNA, 65 nt
Filed under: Dasia olivacea
Lineage: Eukaryota; Metazoa; Chordata; Lepidosauria; Squamata; Scincidae
Description: partial tRNA-Tyr
Source: RNAcentral
UUGAUAAGGGUGGGGUUAAUACCCCACCUAACAGGGCUACAACCUGCCGCCUACCUCGGCCACCU